AAUUCGGCUUAGAGUUUGAUCCUGGCUCAGGACGAACGCUGGCGGCGUGCCUAAUACAUGCAAGUCGAGCGGACUUGAUGGAGAGCUUGCUCUCCUGAUGGUUAGCGGCGGACGGGUGAGUAACACGUAGGCAACCUGCCUGCAAGACCGGGAUAACCCACGGAAACGUGAGCUAAUACCGGAUAUCUCAUUUCCUCUCCUGAGGGGAUGAUGAAAGACGGAGCAAUCUGUCACUUGCGGAUGGGCCUGCGGCGCAUUAGCUAGUUGGUGAGGUAACGGCUCACCAAGGCGACGAUGCGUAGCCGACCUGAGAGGGUGAACGGCCACACUGGGACUGAGACACGGCCCAGACUCCUACGGGAGGCAGCAGUAGGGAAUCUUCCGCAAUGGGCGAAAGCCUGACGGAGCAACGCCGCGUGAGUGAUGAAGGUUUUCGGAUCGUAAAGCUCUGUUGCCAGGGAAGAACGUCCGGUAGAGUAACUGCUAUCGGAGUGACGGUACCUGAGAAGAAAGCCCCGGCUAACUACGUGCCAGCAGCCGCGGUAAUACGUAGGGGGCAAGCGUUGUCCGGAAUUAUUGGGCGUAAAGCGCGCGCAGGCGGUCAUUUAAGUCUGGUGUUUAAGGCCAAGGCUCAACCUUGGUUCGCACUGGAAACUGGGUGACUUGAGUGCAGAAGAGGAGAGUGGAAUU
This 690-nucleotide ribosomal RNA is filed under the name Paenibacillus favisporus. Its description in RNAcentral is "bacterial SSU rRNA". It matches the Rfam family "Bacterial small subunit ribosomal RNA", at positions 1 to 668 of the family's 1533-position model. The record is from RNAcentral. Lineage: Bacteria; Bacillati; Bacillota; Bacilli; Caryophanales; Paenibacillaceae.